AAAGGAUUAAAUGAUAUUUAAAUACGCUCCUUUGACGAAAAUAAAAAAAAUAAAAAUGCGUAAAGCUACCCUAUAAAUAGGGAAAUCCGAAUGGAGAAAGUGAGGUGUCAAUUACAUUUUCCGUGCUCUUUCUUCUUCGUCAGUUUCCCGCCCAAGUUUAGUCCAUAGGGGAACCCUCUGGCCUCAUACAUAGAGAUUCUUUUUCAAUUUGAAUUCCUUAAGUAUAUCUUUGAUUUCCUUUUUCAUGCAUUUUCUCUCCAUUUCUUCUCUGGCUGUGAUCGUAAUCGCUCCGGAAAAUUUACCGUCUCCAUCAAUCGCGCCAAAUUCCGUCCCUCGAUUAAUUUUGGUGAGUUUAGAGUUUCGGUCCUUUGCUUUACCACGGAGGGCUCUGCAGCGGAAAACAUCGAAGGUCCUGAGUCGUGGAAGGUCGCAGAGUUGGAUGAGGCCGUGAGACAACGGAAUUCCAUAUUAGAGGUAUUAAAUAUUCUGCCGACGGUGCUUCUCUCUCAGAUCAUUCGGUUCCUGCUGAAGUGUUUGAAGAUUCUAUCAGUCAGGUUGAUCGGUUCCUAGCGUAGCCUUUCGGAAUCCUUAAGAGUUUAGAUUUCGGUCCUUUGAUUUACCAUGGAGGGCUCUGCAGUGGAGGAUAUUGAAGGUCCUGAGUCAUGGAAGGUGGCAGAGGAUGAGGCCGUGAGACAAUGGAAUUUCAUAUGAGAG
Cucumis sativus (cucumber) is the source of this 714-nucleotide long non-coding RNA. RefSeq lists it as uncharacterized. Lineage: Eukaryota; Viridiplantae; Streptophyta; Magnoliopsida; Cucurbitales; Cucurbitaceae. The transcript is spliced from 3 exons. The record is from RefSeq and is a predicted model, not a curated record.